AUACAGAAUUUUGACCAGAUGGAAGCUUUGCCUGAGUGGUUGGGCAACCUUUCUUCUGUUCGAAGCUUGCAUCUUUGGAAAUGCAUGAACCUGAUGUAUCUGCCAACAGCGGAAGCGAUGCAACACCUCACCGAAUUAAAUAUUUAUGAUUGCCCCAAAUUAAAGGAAAGAUGUGUGAAGGGAAGCGGCGCAGAGUGGCUCAAAAUUGCCCAUACUCCAGAUAUCUUUCUCCCCUGAAAACGGAUUAAAGGGUAGUUGUGCAUAUUGGUCCAAGACAGAUCAGAGUGGGAAAAAAGAGAGGAAAGUUCUCCUAUUCAAGAGCUGCAAACGAUCAAAAUUCAAGGGCCGCUCACCAAAUUAGAGAAGUUGAAGAUAUUUUUGGUCAAAGUAAUACAAAAACAAUGUGAGGAUUCUACGCCAUUCUAAGCUCUGAUUUUCAAUCAGCCAAACUUUGACACCCAAGAACUUUCUUAGUUGGAGGGGUCAUAUUUUGAGGAUCUUUACUCUGCACAGGUGAGGCGUCAAUGGUGGCUUCUGAUUUGG
Molecule: long non-coding RNA, 543 nt
Organism: Quercus lobata
Lineage: Eukaryota; Viridiplantae; Streptophyta; Magnoliopsida; Fagales; Fagaceae
Exons: 3
Source: RefSeq, a predicted model, not a curated record